This 717-nucleotide ribosomal RNA is filed under the name Vagococcus sp. T2816. RNAcentral describes it as "bacterial SSU rRNA". It matches the Rfam family "Bacterial small subunit ribosomal RNA", at positions 73 to 769 of the family's 1533-position model. RNAcentral also lists the same sequence under 1 other name. The record is from RNAcentral. Lineage: Bacteria; Bacillati; Bacillota; Bacilli; Lactobacillales; Enterococcaceae.
CGGGUGCUUGCACCCACCGAGAAAGAGGAGUGGCGGACGGGUGAGUAACACGUGGGCAACCUGCCCAUCAGAGGGGGAUAACACUUGGAAACAGGUGCUAAUACCGCAUAAUUCUUUUUGUCGCCUGACAGAAAGAUAAAAGACGCUUUCGGGUGUCACUGAUGGAUGGGCCCGCGCUGCAUUAGCUAGUUGGUGGGGUAACGGCUCACCAAGGCCAUGAUGCAUAGCCGACCUGAGAGGGUGAUCGGCCACACUGGGACUGAGACACGGCCCAGACUCCUACGGGAGGCAGCAGUAGGGAAUCUUCGGCAAUGGACGAAAGUCUGACCGAGCAACGCCGCGUGAGUGAAGAAGGUUUUCGGAUCGUAAAACUCUGUUGUUAGAGAAGAACAAGUGAGAGAGUAACUGUUCUCACCUUGACGGUAUCUAACCAGAAAGCCACGGCUAACUACGUGCCAGCAGCCGCGGUAAUACGUAGGUGGCAAGCGUUGUCCGGAUUUAUUGGGCGUAAAGCGAGCGCAGGCGGUUCCUUAAGUCUGAUGUGAAAGCCCCCGGCUCAACCGGGGAAGGUCAUUGGAAACUGGGGAACUUGAGUGCAGAAGAGGAGAGUGGAAUUCCAUGUGUAGCGGUGAAAUGCGUAGAUAUAUGGAGGAACACCAGUGGCGAAGGCGACUCUCUGGUCUGUAACUGACGCUGAGGCUCGAAAGCGUGGGGAGC